CUUAGGACAGCUUUGAUACCGGGAACUGUAUGUUCUUCUAACCAAACCCAACUGAUGAAUUCACUAAACACAUUUUCUGGUUCAGCUCUUCUGAGCCAGUGCCAGAGAUUACGUAGCUACAGGUGAGAACACUCGAGUUCAUGGCUGCCAUUAAAGGACCAUGUUGUUUCUCGGGUCUUGAUUGGUUGGGUGUUGAACCUUUUUUCAAGGAAGAAAAAUUUGAGGCCUUUUCCUUCUUUUUUUUUAAUCUUCUCCUGCAACGUAAAGAUAAACAAUCAAACUUUUGCAAAAUCAUCUGUACACAAACUGUUUUUUUGCCUCUAUCCUAGGUGUGAUUUACACGUGUGAAUGGUUUCUUCUUCCACCAACGUGUGCGCGCGCACAUACUUCAUCUAUUCCUCUACCAUGUUACAACUAUGAGAAAAGAAAUACAUUGCUGGUUCGCCAAGCAUCUAAGCUACUGCUUAUGACAGAGAAAACAAAAGAUAGACAUUGUUGGUUUCUUGAUCCAACCAUGUUUAAAAAAAAUAAGAGAAGACAAAAUUUACCAACAAUGGAUCAUGCGGAAAGUUGAAUUCAACAGACAUAAAAAAAAGGAUUACCUCUUCGGUUAAGCUUGGAUGGAAUUGUUUUGUUAGGUUUUGGAUGGUCUGUGGACCACCUUUGGAGCAAGGGAAACCAAAGUCCUAACCAAGUUGAAUAUUUUAGAAUAUUACCUAUUUGUAUGUGUUUUGAGUGGCUAAAUAUAGCACUUAACUAUAAGUUUAAACCAAAAAAAUAAUCAUAAGAUGAUCAAUAGAGACUUUCCCUUAAACAAACAAUGUAAGAGCAUAUGAAAACAUACCGUAAGGAGACGUGGAGACACUGUUCUGCAGUCCACUUCCAGGACUAAGAAAAUCAGCUCAUCCAUGCACUGGACGUCCCUAACCCGCAAAGACCAGUAUCUUACUUUGAACCACAAAGCUUUUCCUGCGUAAGUGCAAACGGUAAAGAUCACUCUCAAACUAUGCAACAACUGAGUUUAUUAUGCAAUAAAAAUUUAUUCAAGAUUCCGAAAGAGAAUGCAAGUGAACAUAUAUACCUAUUGCGAACCGUUGUGCUAAGAAGAAACUUAAGAAAUCUUGCUGAAACGAAAGCUCCCAUAGCCAAAGGAGUAUCCAUUGUGCUCUGAAAUAAUAGAGAGGAUAUCACUUACAACUACUUUGAGCAUGACAUUUAGAUUUACGAUAGCAUAGAAAUUAAAAAAGAAAUGCACUUUGACUUGGAAAAUACAUGUGGCAGCAUAGCAUGCAUCACCCAUUUCACUAAUUGGGAAACAAUAGCAUCCACACCCCAUCUUUCGAAACAACUUCACCGUCCAAAAUCCCAAAGCUUCUUUUGUAAUGGCUAUUCCUGCAAACAAUCAUUAUGUGACAAUUAUUUUAAAAGAGUAUUGUUACCUGAAUGGGAAAUCGAGUGGCAAUUACUAUCAUUAUGCUCAAUGAUAAAUUGCUUGCAAUAUACAUCCAUUUGGUAAAAAUGUUCUCUUUACAAAUAUCAAAAGAGCGCCUGCAAGAACUGAAAAGAGGGAAGAACUAUUUAAAAAAAAACAAAUGAAAGCAGGGGACUAAGACUUAUUAGAGGGCAAUCACACAGACUAAGUUUUUCUCAGACUUAUUGGUGCUCUAGGCUCCAAUUGUUGUCGCUGAGGUCCUUGGUUCUUCCGCCGCGGUUCUCUGGCUCUCAGACGGAGGUUGAGCCGGCGACGGCAAGUUUUUCUGCGGUAAGCCUCCAUCGCCAUAAAGAUUUCGUGUAACGUAGUAAACAGAGAAGAGGAAGAGAAAGGGGAUCGAAGAUCCAUUUAGCCGAUCAUCUCCAUCUCCGACAUACUUGAGGUUGAUUGCAUGUUCUUCAACCUUCAAUCACCACCGAUCUCGAGAUCUUCUUCUCCAAUUAUUAGGAUUGAGCACCGUGAAAAACUUUGAGAGCCAAACUUCGAAUCUUGUCGGAACACUGACCCUUAUGGUAGCUCCGAAUUUUCUGGAUUCUGACUUGAACUCGAAAGCAUGAUCCAAAACUCAAGACUUGAUCUUCGUGGAGACUUCACACAAACACGAGCCAAAGCUUUAUACCACCUUCGAGUCGAGGACUAAGCUUAUCUAACAAAGAGGAAAACAAAACCAUCUCGACCAAACAGAAUAAGGUUAUACGCAGAAGGAGAAGAACUAGGACAUAACUAUAUUUAUACUCAAAUCAUAUCAGAAGAGGAUAAGACUGAUAAUUGAUUCCGAUUUGAUUGAAUUUUACACUUCAAAAAACUCGCCAACAUGAAAGUAUAAAAUCGAUCAAAGAUCAACCGUAGUUAUUUUACAUCAAAAGAUAAGAAAACAUGAUGGUAACCGGCGGCAACCACCGAUCACCAGAAAUGGUUUUCUGAUUUCGAAACUUCUAGAAAGAAUAUGGAGCGUCUAGAAAGAGAGAGGGUUGGAAUAUCUUCUUUUGGUACAUGAGAUUAUUUAUUAUUUGAAAUAAAUUUAGUUGGGAGUUUUCAGCUUUAAAAUUAAAAUAAUUAGUUGGAACAUUGAAGUCAUAAACAUCACAUAACUGAUGUGGGAGUAAUGAGGAAAAAAAAGAAUAAAACAAAAAAGAGAAAGAAAUAUAAAAAUAUGAAAAGAAAAAUAAAAUAAAAAUAAUUAAAAAUAGUUAAGAAAAAAGAAAAUCUUUCAACCUUAAAAUGGCUGAUCGUGUCGAGACGGCAGCAGCACACUUGUCGUCCUUCCCAGAAGCUUCUCCGGUGUUUUCGCAGUCGCAAAUCUAAACCGUUAACUAGGUAGGUAUAAUAUAUUUAACCUGUAUUAUCCGUUUCUUAUAUAUAUCUGUGGAUCUGUCUUUGUCGGAUUAUCCACUUCGCCAUGUCUUCUCUUCACUUAAUAUCUGUUCCGUUGUUGUUGUGUGUUUUUAAAUUAGAUGAAAGUAGUAAAGAACUAAACUUUGGUAGUUAGACCAGUGUCUUAUUGAUCCGAUUCUUAUUGCUAACAGGUUUUUGUUGGUUUUCGACUCGACCGAUUAUUUAACAGAAAGUGAUUUGCUUUUUCUUCUAGAAUCUGUAUAAUUGUGUUGUGACAAGUAAUUUGUUCAAGUUAAUCUGUAUAGUUGUGCUGAUAAGAGAAAGCACUGUAUCUGGUAUGAAUUCAUUUCUCUUCAAAAAGUCUCUCUUUUUUUUAAUGACAAAACAUUAUCUGAAGAUCUUCCAUCAUUGAUUGACUUUGCUUUGCUCUUACAUCUGUACACACACACAUUUAUGUAGUUUUGUUGCUUUUGGUUCUCUUUACUUACUCUUUAUAUAUUGAUACACACAUUUCUCGAUUUGUGCGUGUCAUCUCACUUCUUGGAACUUCUUUCUUUCAUCGAUUCUUAGCAUUGUGUAUUCCACUCUAAUUUCUUUUACCUCUGAAAAGGAAGAUAGAAGAAUCAUUGAAGAAGAACUAGUGAACACAAGGAAUAUGGGAACUCACAUCAAUUUCAACAGCUUAGGAGGUGGUGGAAGUUACCAGAUGAAGCCAACAGAUAGUCCCAAUCCCCUGGCGAGACAGUCCUCUGUUUACUCCCUAACCUUUGAUGAGCUUCAGAGCACAUUCGGUGGACCGGGGAAAGAUUUAGGGUCUAUGAACAUGGAUGAGCUCCUGAAAAGCAUAUGGACUGCUGAAGAAGCUCAGGCCAUGACUUCUUCAGCUGCUACAGCGGUUGCGCAACAUGGUGGUGGGAAUCUCCAGAGGCAAGGCUCGUUGACAUUGCCUAGAACGAUUAGUCAGAAGACUGUUGAUGAGGUCUGGAAAUUUCUGAUCACCAAGGAUGGUGAAAUGGGAGGUAGCAGCAAUGGUGAGUCUAAUGCACAACAGACUUUAGGGGAGAUGAAGAUUGAGGACUUUCUGUUUCGCGCUGGAGUUGUAAGAGAAGAUAACAACGAGUUUUAUGGUAACAACGGUUCUGCUGAAGGGCUAGGCUUUGGAUUUGGUCAGCUAAAUCAAAACAACAUAUCAUUCAAUGGCACUAAUGAUUCCAUGAUCUUGAAUCAGCCACCUGGUUCAUGCCUCAAAGUGGGUGGUACAACUCAGCACCAGCGGAUGCCUCAAACCAUUUUUCCUAAACAAACAAACGUAGAAUUUGCUGCGUCUGUGUGUAUGGUCAACAAGGGCUUCACUGGGGCUGUGAACAAUGAUAAUGGAUUAGCUAGUUUCAGAGGAGAAGGGGUUAAAAUUGCAGCGACAUCACCAGGGACAAGCAGCGCGGAGAAUAACUCUCUGUCACCAGUUCCUUAUGUGCUUAACCGAGGAAGAAGAAGCAAUACGGGUGUAGAGAAGGUUAUCGAGAGGAGGCAAAGGAGGAAGAUCAAGAACAGGGAAUCAGCUGCUAGAUCUAGAGCUCGGAAGCAAGUGAGUAUUAAUUUAACCAAACUGUGGUAUAUCCAACUCUUUUUGCUUGGUUUGAUUAUUAUGUUGGUCUUGAAUCUUUUGCACUCAUUAUCCAUUAAUUGCAGGCUUAUACCUUGGAACUGGAAGCCGAAAUUGAAAAGCUCAAGAAAGUGAAUCAAGAAUUGCAGAGAAAACAGGUAUGUUUCUUUUUUUUAAUAGAAAAUAGCUGCUUGGUUAUGACAUUGAGCUUCCCCUAUGUUGCAGGCUGAAAUGAUGGAGAUGCAGAAGAAUGAGGUAACUGUCAUUGACUUUAUUAGUUUUUUUUUAUCAGUUCAUCUACAAACCAUGGACUCUGCAGCAUCAUAAAAGACCUUAUUUUAAACCCAUAAAUGGUCUAAUAGUUACUGACACCCAACCAUUUUUGUUUCUGAUUGUACAUCUAGUUAACGAUGAUCACAAAAAUGAUCUUAGUUCUGCUGUUCACGACUAGUGCUUUUGAAUUGGCAGGUGAAUGAACCGAGGGGCAGCAAGAGGCAGUGCCUGAGAAGGACACUAACCGGUCCUUGGUAAAAUCAGAAUGUAACAACAUGUACCGAGCAUACCAGACACCGGUUUGCAUGGGAAUAAUGUAAUAGGAGAUAGUGGUGCUACCUGUACAGGAGAUUAAGAGAAACUAGGAUUUGACCCGCCCUACGGGCGGGUUAGUAACUAAAAAAAGUACAUAAUGUAUCAUAUUUUUUAAAAAUAUUUUAAAAUGUAUAGUUUAUUUAAAUUGUAAGUUAUCUUUAAAUUGUAAUACCAAAAAUUACAAUUAUACGUAUUUCAAAUUUUUAAUAUUGCAAUUAUACAUUUGUAUCUAUUAUCUAUUUUGAUAAUUUAUUUUUCUGCAUUUCGUGUGGAACAUUUGUUAAUUUUAUAAUAUUUUUUAGUUAUAAUUUAACACUUAUCUUGAUCUAACAAAACAAUAUUUUAGGUAUUUCAAUUCAUAUCGUUUUCGUUUGUUUAAAGGGGAGAGUUGUUAUUGGAUAAGUGUUAAUGUCCUUCAAAAACUUAUCCCUAAAUUUUGGAGGCUUUGAAAGUUGUAAACUUUUUAUAAAGAAUUUAAUAGUUUGGGAGUUUGAAUAAUUUUUUUUUUACAAAUUUGGGGGUUUAUAUCGAUAAUAUUUUUUUGAUAAUUUGGAUUUGUAUUGUGUCGUCAAUAUUGUUAAUUUUUUUACAAAAGCAAAUUUCAAGCAACUCUUGUAUAUCGAGACAGAGAUAUCUAUUAUUUGAAAACAAACAUAUAAUUAGAGUGUUAAGGAAAAAUAAACAUAUAAUCAAAGUGGAUCUCUAACAAAGUUUGCUCUCCACUUGUUGCUAAAGUUUUCUUAUCAUUCAGUUCCUAUCAUCAUAAAUAGAUUACUUUGCAUUAUAAAAAGGUUUUUUAAGAGAUGUCAACAUGAUUCAUAACGUUUCAAGACUUUACUUUUGUUGGCUUUGAUCUUUCGUAGAAAUCAUCAAUGACGCCAGCAUUAGCGGAAGCAGAUCCAUAAGUAGAGGAGAAAAGUGUAGCAGCUAAGAUAACCAUGGCGGAUCUUCUUCCAUUAUCACAUCACCACCAACUCUUAGGACAGCUUUGAUACCGGGAACUGUAUGUUCUUCUAACCAAACCCAACUGAUGAAUUCACUAAACACAUUUUCUGGUUCAGCUCUUCUGAGCCAGUGCCAGAGAUUACGUAGCUACAGGUGAGAACACUCGAGUUCAUGGCUGCCAUUAAAGGACCAUGUUGUUUCUCGGGUCUUGAUUGGUUGGGUGUUGAACCUUUUUUCAAGGAAGAAAAAUUUGAGGCCUUUUCCUUCUUUUUUUUUAA
Molecule: long non-coding RNA, 6241 nt
Filed under: Brassica napus (rape)
Lineage: Eukaryota; Viridiplantae; Streptophyta; Magnoliopsida; Brassicales; Brassicaceae
Description: long non-coding RNA (BNAP_LNC002638)
Source: RNAcentral